Molecule: long non-coding RNA, 4589 nt
Filed under: Brassica napus (rape)
Lineage: Eukaryota; Viridiplantae; Streptophyta; Magnoliopsida; Brassicales; Brassicaceae
Description: long non-coding RNA (BNAP_LNC020730)
Source: RNAcentral
CGAGGGCGAUUUUGCGUUCAAGGAAGCAUGGUUCCAUCUGUACGAUGAUUACCCAGUCAAACACGAAUCCGAUCGUCUCCCUCCUCCUCUUGUAGCUGACCUCAACGGCGAUGGCAAGAAGGAGGUCCUCGUCGCUACAAACGAUGCCAAAAUUCAGGUAAAACGGAAUGAUUCGCAGCUUAAUGCUUAUGGCUUAGCUAUUACGCGGUGUUGGAUCAAGUGCUAACCUGUGUUAUGGAUGGUGGAUUAGGUCCUGGAGCCUCACUCCAGGCGUGUGGAUGAAGGCUUCAGUGAAGCACGUGUUCUUGCUGAUAUCUCCCUUUUGCCUGACAAGAUCCGUGUCGCCUCCGGGAGACGCGCUGUGGCCAUGGCCACUGGUGUUAUCGAUAGGUACUAUAAAGAUGGGACACCGCAGAAGCAGGUUUUGGUCGUUGUUACCUCUGGUUGGUCUGUGCUCUGCUUUGAUCACAACCUCAAAAAGCUCUGGGAAACGAAUCUCCAGGUUUAUUUUUUUUUUACAUCCUCGUUGUCCUUUGUUCUGUAUGUUAUUGUCUUCUUCUUACUGAUAUUGAUUGGAAUAUCAGGAGGAUUUUCCACAUAAUGCACACCAUAGAGAGAUAUCAAUUUCGAUUAGCAAUUAUACGUUGAAGCACGGUGAUACUGGUUUGGUUAUUGUUGGUGGAAGGAUGGAGAUGCAGCCUUAUGUAUGUACAAGGCAACAUUUUCCACUUGGUUUUGGAUUGUGUUAAUUAAUAAUGGAUUUUUCUUGUCGUCUUAGAAUCAUAUGGACCCAUUUGAGGAACUUGGCAUUACAGAACAAAAUGCUGAGAAACACAGGAGAAGUGCUACUGAGAAACAGGUACGAAAAGAUGUGGAGUUAUUAUAUCUGGUAGUAAUAAAGAUGUUCUUGUGGCACAUUUUGUCUAGGAGAUGUGUUUGGAAUAACUUUAAGCUUCUUUUCAGCCCACUGAAGAUACGGGAGGUGUAAACUUGCGUCACUUUUCGGUUUAUGCAUUCGCUGGCCGGACUGGUGUUCUUCGUUGGAGUAAAAAGACUGAUGUCAGUUAUUUCUCCUUUAUGCCCACUUCUUUCUUUACAUAUAGCUUACCUGUAUUCUUAACUGCAUCAGAUUUGCUGGUCGAAUUGAUAGAAUAUUGUUUUGCUUCGCUUCUAGGAUGUUGAAGCUCACACCUCAGAUGCGUCACAGCUAGUUCCCCAACACAAUUACAAGCUCGACGUGCAUUCUAUAAAUAGCCGUCACCCUGGAGAGGUAAAGUUAACUCGUUCUUCAUUGAUCAUUGAGCGAUGUGUAGCCUGUUCUAGUUGCCUUUUAGGAGAUUUAUAAUUGCUUUGGAAACUGAGAUGUGCUGGACUGAAGUUUGAAUGCAGGGAAUUUAGAGAAUCAAUUCUUAGUGUUAUGCCUCAUCACUGGGUAAGUCUUAUGCUUCCUACUACAUGCUUCGGCUCCUUAGUCUAAUAUGCUUUAAAAUAUUCUGUUCUUAAGGACGUUGUUGUCUUUGUAUCCAGGACCGACGGGAAGAUACAUUAUUAAAGCUUGCUCAUUUCAGGCGACACAAGAGGAAGACAUUGAAGAAGCAAGCUGGUAAGUCUACAACUUUUCCGUUUCAAAAACCUGAGGAACACACACCAGCUGGGAAAGACUUGUCGAGAAAGAUUCCGAAAUUGAUUGGGAAGGCUGCACGUUAUGCUGGCUCGGCAAAACCCAAGAAGGUGAAAGCUCUUACUAAACGUGAAGUACCCACAUAAAAACACUCAUAUUGUGUAUAGGACAGCUAAGCACAUGUUGUUGCAGGGCAUGCAAUACAUACCGACUAUAACUAACUACACUAAGCUUUGGUGGGUUCCUAAUGUUGUUGUGGCUCACCAAAAAGAAGGAAUUGAAGCUAUUCAUUUGCCUACUGGUCGAACUCUUUGCAAGGUAGCUGUUCCUUCAAAUCAUGAACAAAAGCUUUACAAUAUCACGAACCCGUUUUUAAUAUGUUAGCUUCCUUAAACUCAGCUUCAUCUGCUGGAAGGUGGGCUUCACGCCGACAUAAACGGAGAUGGUGUACUCGAUCAUGUCCAGGUACACAUUAGACACAUCUCCCGCUUUCCCUUCAUUGUCUUUACAAUGGAUCUUCAAUACUUUACAUUCUCUGUGCGCACCUUAGGCUGUCGGAGGCAAUGUUGGAGAGAGAACUGUAGUUAGCGGAUCAAUGGAAGUAUUGAAGCCUUGCUGGGCAGUGGCAACCUCAGGCGUUCCCGUCCGAGAACAGCUCUUCAACGUCUCGAUCUGCCAUCACACCCCCUUCAACUUCAUGCACUACGGAGAGUUUUCACGAAACUUUGCUCAGGCAAGAGACACAUCCUCUUUGGAGAUUGCGACUCCCAUUCUCAUCCCCAGAGAUGACGGUCAUAAACACCGAAGAGGAAGUCACGGAGAUGUAAUCUUCUUGACAAAUCGUGGAGAGGUACUUUUUCUGAUGAUCCAAUCUCUUUUAACUUUGAAUCUCGUUCAAUAGCUCAUAGCGUUCCCUACCAGGUGACAUCAUACACGCCUGAUAUGCACGGCCGCGAGCCGCUCUGGCAGUGGCAGCUUCAGACAGAAGCCACAUGGUCGAAUCUCCCAUCUCCAUCUGGUUUAACCGAGUCAGGGACAGUGGUCCCAACCCUGAAACCAUUCUCGUUGCGCAUUCAUGAUAACCAGCCUAUGAUCCUCGCCGGAGGAGAUCAAGCGGCAGUCAUCAUAUCUCCAGGAGGAAGCGUAUUGGCUUCCAUCGAGUUACCGUCACUGCCGACUCAUGCUCUCAUCACUGAUGACUUCUCUAACGACGGAUUAACGGAUGUAAUUGUGAUGACAUCAAAUGGGAUAUACGGGUUCGUUCAGACCAGACAGCCAGGUGCUCUGUUCUUCAGUUCGUUGGUGGGGUGUAUCUUGGUAGUAAUGGCAGUUAUUUUCGUAACUCAGCACUUAAACUCCGUUAAAGGUAAGCCUCGACCUUCCUCUAGCUUUAUUUAAAUAUAUAAAGCCUCAGGGGGUUUUCUUCUUCUCUACGGAAGUUGAACCGGUCCUAUUAGCGGCGGCGCUUUACCCACACCGGUUUUGGUAUACCGAAGUAGAUUCAGCGUUUCAGCUUUGUAAUUUUAUUAUAAACUUUUACAGAAUUCUAUAAGUGAAAAUGGUAGAGGCGAAUGUUAGGACUUUUUUUGCUUCUCUCAGUUUUAAUGUUUAAGUUGCAAGUGUUGCUGUGACAUUUAUUUAAUCAAAAGAGAUUUUUCUAACACUGGUCAAAUCGUUAUAUAUCCUUAUAUAAUCUGGAUUUCUGGAGACUAGAUACAUCUCAAACUGAAAAGAAUGUUUCUGAAAUUUGCAAUUGAAUCAGCACAUUACAAUACAUUUAUCAAGCAUUUUCGAAUUUCAAUUUAAAAAAAUAAAUUUAUAAUUUUUUUUUUUAAUUUUGGAAAUAUUCCGAGGAAGUUUAUCCCUCAGAAUAUUCCGACGACAUCUUUCUCGGAAUAUUCCGAGGAAUUUCCGACGAACUUGUGGUCCUCGGAAAUUCCGAGGAAAUAGGGUUUCCUCGGAAUUCCGUCGGAAAUUUCCGAGGGAUUUCCGAGGAAAAAUGAAUUUCCGAGAAGUUAUUUACGAGGAUUUUUUUCGUCGGUAUGUCGUCGGAAUAGCGUUAUUCCGAGGACAUACCGACGAUUUUUUCUCUCAGUAUGCCGCUGUUUUAUUGUAGUGUGAUGUCUACAAAGGAAUGAUAGUUGGAACUUGCUGGUGAGUUUCAUACUUUACCGUGGCGUGCACCAUCUCUUGUUGUUGGCCACAAAGGAAUGCGAGUGUUAGUGUGUUACGACGACGUUAGGAACAACGAUAAUGGCUACUCAACUGUUUGGCUCCUUGGUUUAAAUUAAUACUUCUCGAAGGAUUAAAGAAAGACGACAUAACGUUCGGUCCUUAUUAUCUAAACGGCAAGCUUUUUUAGUUAUGACAUAUGAAACGUCUAAUACGGCAUCAUUUUCACCGAAUACUGACCCAAGGUCGCCUGGUUCUCGACGAUUCAUCGCUCCCUCACCUCUCUCUCGCACCUACCGAUGCAAAUCUGCCAUUGAUUGAUUACAUCUGCUCCGACGUCAAAACGAAGAUGAGGAAACGCGAUUUGGCAAUUUUGAUGCUCUCUGGAUUUGCAAUCUUCUUCACUCUUCAGGUGAUUUCCCCUCACUAAUCACAGUAUAUAAGCUUCUAGAACCAUUCAUCGAUCUGUUGCUAGAGCUUAGAAAUCGAGUGCGAACUCGUUCUAUGAGUGUAGAGUUUCUCAGAUGGAAUCUUAUUGAUCCGUAUGUAUUUCAAUUGCGCGUUAUUGAUUGUUGAUUUUGCUCAGCACGAGGGCGAUUUUGCGUUCAAGGAAGCAUGGUUCCAUCUGUACGAUGAUUACCCAGUCAAACACGAAUCCGAUCGUCUCCCUCCUCCUCUUGUAGCUGACCUCAACGGCGAUGGCAAGAAGGAGGUCCUCGUCGCUACAAACGAUGCCAAAAUUCAGGUAAAACGGAAUGAUUCGCAGCUUAAUGCUUAUGGCUUAGCUAUUACGCGG